CUCAAAAUCUUAGCCACUGAGCCACCACAUCCCUAAACCUGCCUCCUAUACAGCAAAAAUUAUAAUCGGAGAGAGUAGGCUUUUGGGCUGAAUUCAAAAAUUGUGUUUUGUUGUGAAACAGAUUUUGACUGCUGGUGGAGCUGAAGACAAGAAGUAAAAUAAAAAGGUGAAAAGGGAGUAAAAUAGACAGAGCAUCACUAUUUCAGAACGUAGCUGUCUUUAUAGUUUUGUGCUCAGAGGCAAACCUUUGUUUUUAUAAUUAUAAUAGUCCUUCAUGCAAAUGUAAUACAGCAUGCAGAAAGAAAUUUGAGGGAACUGGGAUAAAAUAAUUUGUGGUUAUAUUAUUUUAAAAAAUUCUAAUUCCUUCUGUGGAUCUUAUUCUAAAAACCUGUGUGUGUGAGAAGCACUCUACUACACAAGUUAGUAACAAAACCCUCUCUGUACUUCCAAAAAUCUCUCUUAAACAAAAGGGUUUUUUUGCCCAGGUCUCAUGAGAUUUUGGGGUAGGAGGAAGAGGAGAACCACCAGAGCUAUUAUAUAGUAGAGCCUGAUUUUUUUUUAAAAAAAGUUUGUCAAUCCUUGCCAUGAUUUGGUCAGAUCCUGCAGACAGAAUACUAGGCACAUGGCAAGCACACAAUGCUUUUCAAUUCACCUUGAUCUGAAGCCCCCUUUCCCCUCCCUUGUGAGAAAGAGAUAUGAGUGAGCUUCUUUGUAAUAUGUUAGCUGCAGAAAGCUCAUUUAUAAAAUCUGUCUGAUUGCUGAGAGAGUCCAAGCAUACUCUGCAUUUCUGCAGUGCAGGACCUAGGCUACAACAAAGAAAUUCAGCCUGGAGACAGCAGUGCUGUUUAAGCUUCCGUAAAUGCUGAGUCUGCACUCUGCAUUAAAACAGGCAAGGCAGGAAUGGUUAAAUUUUUUGCGGCUCUCAUGUACUAUCAAUGGUAAUUUGCACACAGUAUUUCCUAUUUGGCCUAGUGAGAAAGAAACCCACUAUGUGCUUUCCCACAUAGGCACUUGGUAUUUUAUUCAGGCAUCAUUUCAGGAUUGUCCUCAACCUUAAAGAUCAUAAACCUGCUCUUUAAAAUAUGAAUGCCAAGAUUCCUAGAAUGCUGGGUUUCAUUACAAAGAAGCCCUGAUCAUAGAUCAUCUCUAGCAUUUUAAAACAAAUGCAAAAGCUGCUUAAUCAGUUUCUAAAUCAGCUCUCAUAAGAGGAGUUGAAUUGCAUAAGAGGUUGCAAUCAGAUAGGCUGGAAUUUGGUAUAUUCAUAUGCUAAGUGGGGAGAGCUUAAGAACAGUUAGCAAUUUUAGCUAUUUUUACAGGGAGUUUCCUGUAAAAGAUACCCCCCCCCCCCCGCUUCCUUAGGUAUCUCUCAUUUCCAAAAUCCAAAACCUAAAAACAGUCCCUAUAAUAUUGCUUUAUUAAUUAUCAAAUAUUUGAACAGGCAUUUUUUCCUGGGUAUGAAGACUCUUGACCUGACUCUUGAUCAGAAAGGUUGGAUUAAAAGACUUCCAAAGCAUGUUAUAGACCUAUAAUUCUUUAAUUAUAAUUAUAUAAAAUAGGGAGUUACUUUCCAAACAUUUAUAGAAGGUUAUACCACACGGUUGGAGCAGUAAAGAUGGGGGUGGAAUUAUCUGAGUGAGAAACUAGAAAUCUCAGCCACAAAAAACAAGGUUUCUCUGCAUUAGAAAACCAUUUUAUCAAAGCAAGAGAAAAGGGGGGGGGGAUCAUUAGCAAUAAAAGCAGAAAGAUUAAAAAAUGUAGCUAUACAAUUCCUGUUUUUGUUGUUUAUGGUUAUUUCACGAUACUAGAAUUUGCACAGUAGUAAAGACUGCAGCUAUUUAAAGCAGAUUCUAGCUGCAGUGAAAAAGUGCAUUAAAAAACAUAAUCACUAUGAAAUUUACAGAAAUUAUGGCAUCUAGCUGUUCUCCCUUGAUCAUCUGAUGAGGAUAUAAAAAGGAAAUAUAUGCAGCAGCUCAAAACAGGAAAAAUAAGGCAAAGAGGAAUGUGACACCAAGGGCCAGGAACAUCCUUUUAUCACAAUUAGUGCCCCCGCCCUUUCUCCAUGGGAUUCUUGCUAUGUAAAAACUAAAAGAAUUCACAGAUUGAAAGAAGUCUCUUUACGAGGAUUU
Molecule: long non-coding RNA, 2126 nt
Organism: Thamnophis elegans (Western terrestrial garter snake)
Lineage: Eukaryota; Metazoa; Chordata; Lepidosauria; Squamata; Natricidae
Exons: 2
Source: RefSeq, a predicted model, not a curated record